This 489-nucleotide ribosomal RNA is filed under the name uncultured bacterium. RNAcentral describes it as "bacterial SSU rRNA". It matches the Rfam family "Bacterial small subunit ribosomal RNA", at positions 413 to 902 of the family's 1533-position model. The record is from RNAcentral.
GGCCCUCUGGGUUGUAAACUUCUUUUAUAUGGGACGAAAAAAGGCCUUUCUAGGUCAACUGACGGUACCAUGUGAAUAAGCACCGGCUAACUCCGUGCCAGCAGCCGCGGUAAUACGGAGGGUGCAAGCGUUAUCCGGAUUCACUGGGUUUAAAGGGUGCGUAGGUGGGUUGGUAAGUCAGUGGUGAAAUCCCCGAGCUUAACUUGGGAACUGCCAUUGAUACUAUCAGUCUUGAAUACUGUGGAGGUUAGCGGAAUAUGUCAUGUAGCGGUGAAAUGCUUAGAUAUGACAUAGAACACCAAUUGCGAAGGCAGCUGGCUACACAAAUAUUGACACUGAGGCACGAAAGCGUGGGGAUCAAACAGGAUUAGAUACCCUGGUAGUCCACGCCCUAAACUAUGGAUACUCGACAUACGCGAUACACAGUGUGUGUCUGAGCGAAAGCAUUAAGUAUCCCACCUGGGAAGUACGAUCGCAAGAUUGAAACUC